Molecule: ribosomal RNA, 854 nt
Filed under: Triticum aestivum (bread wheat)
Lineage: Eukaryota; Viridiplantae; Streptophyta; Magnoliopsida; Poales; Poaceae
Description: partial small subunit ribosomal RNA
Source: RNAcentral
GGGAGAACGCCCCGAACGACAACGUAGCACUCCCACACGCCCCACCCACAACACGCGUCACACUACCGCACGGACAACCAUAUCCAUUCCCCACGGGGGGUCUUUGGCCGACGCACCUCGCCGUCGGGCAUGGAGGCCACCGCCGCUCCCCAGCUCGAUUCCUUUCUCCAGUGAAGCACGGGCUAUGGAGGUGUGUCCAUGCCGCCGCGGCCUCGGUCGGAGGUGGAGGAGCGACGAGAGGGCUCGCUCGGUGGGCGGCACGGCGAGGCACAAAGUGGAGAGGGAGUGGGCGGCCAUGCCGCGGCGAAGAAGAGCACGAUGAAGCGGAGCAAGAAGGCACUGACGGUCUGCGAUGCUGGGAUGGAGGCGCGGAGCACGGUCGGGGGGAGGGGGGACGAGGUAGUGGCGGAGGUCAUGGCGGCCGGGGCGGUGAGUUUCGCGGAGCGUCGGGCCGACAUGGGGCGACCACGCCGCCGCGUUCCACAUGCUGGAGACGAUGGCGACCACACCGCCGUGUUGCUCAUGCUGCUGGUCGCCAAUAUAACGGAAAGAGGCCUGUAGGGCCUGAUGAUUGGGGCGUUCGCGCUGGGGUGUUUUCCUCCCGAACGAGUGGGUUCGGUUGAUCUUCGUCCGGUAGCGAACGAGUUGUUCGGUCCGGGGUCUCCCAUACCGAACGUCAGUGCCUUAUCGGGGUCCUUAAUAUAUAUUGCCAAACAUCCAACUAUGUAUCCACACAAAAUUAAAGCAACUGUUUUUCUUUUGCAAGGAACAAAAUAUGUAUUAACCGAGCAUCGGUUUCUUCACCGCUUCCUCUUAAUGAAUAGUAGCAGCUCUCUUGCUAUCUUAAAAAAAAC